GCCAGGAUGGUGAAAUUGGCAGACACGCUAUGUUCAGAACGUAGUCCUCUUUGAGGGUGGGGGUUCAAAUCCCCCUCUUGGCA
This 83-nucleotide transfer RNA is filed under the name candidate division WS6 bacterium RIFOXYC1_FULL_33_9. RNAcentral describes it as "tRNA-Leu". It matches the Rfam family "tRNA". Rfam says of the family: Transfer RNA (tRNA) molecules are approximately 80 nucleotides in length. Their secondary structure includes four short double-helical elements and three loops (D, anti-codon, and T loops). Further hydrogen bonds mediate the characteristic L-shaped molecular structure. tRNAs have two regions of fundamental functional importance: the anti-codon, which is responsible for specific mRNA codon recognition, and the 3' end, to which the tRNAs corresponding amino acid is attached (by aminoacyl-tRNA synthetases). tRNAs cope with the degeneracy of the genetic code in two manners: having more than one tRNA (with a specific anti-codon) for a particular amino acid; and 'wobble' base-pairing, i.e. permitting non-standard base-pairing at the 3rd anti-codon position. RNAcentral also lists the same sequence under 3 other names. The record is from RNAcentral.